RNAcentral lists this ribosomal RNA (216 nucleotides) under Glomeromycotina sp. Its description in RNAcentral is "partial small subunit ribosomal RNA". The stretch from base 40 to 216 matches the Rfam family "Eukaryotic small subunit ribosomal RNA", at positions 686 to 864 of the family's 1831-position model. The record is from RNAcentral. Lineage: Eukaryota; Fungi; Glomeromycota.
GGGUCAGUAGGUUGGUCGUGCCACCGGUACGUACUGGUCUCACUGAUUCCUCCUUCCUGAAGAACCGUAAUGCCAUUAAUUUGGUGUUGCGGGGAAACAGGACUGUUACUUUGAAAAAAUUAGAGUGUUUAAAGCAAGCUAACGCUUGAAUACAUUAGUAUGGAAUAAUGAAAUAGGGCGAUCGAUCCUAUUUUGUUGGUUUCUAGGAUUGACGUA